This is a long non-coding RNA of Callithrix jacchus (white-tufted-ear marmoset), 1333 nucleotides long. The record is from Ensembl. Lineage: Eukaryota; Metazoa; Chordata; Mammalia; Primates; Cebidae.
UUUUUAUUUGAAGUAAUCAUACAAUCCAUUCAUUAUCUGAAAUAAAUUCCUGUGCUCUUUUGUCUUAAAAUGCUGUCACUGUUGCUUUCACAUCUCUCAAAGUCAUCUCAAGAUUAAAAUCUACACUGAAAUUAAAGAACUCUGUUUAGCUAUCUCUUGGACCACAUUACUGUCCUUACUUUAAUUAGGUAUCAUAUGUAUAUAGGACAUUUGCUGCAAGGGAGCUGGCAGUCCUCAUCAAACUCCAGGAAGUAAAUAGGAGCUACUUUUCAUCUCAGUGCUCGAAUUCAUACGUGGAGGCAUCCAGCAGUUCAUAAUGAGCCCAAGGUCACCCGGUACAUGAAAAGCAGUCCUGAAAAUCAAAGCCAGGAUUUUGCAGCCUGAAACUUCUCCCUGAGAAUGGAAAUCUCUUCACAGAAUGUUCAGUCUCAUAGUUCUGAACCCUAAGAGAUAAUUUAGUUCAACAUCUUCGCUUUGCAAAUAUGGAAACAAAGGACUUCCAUAAUCAAGGACCACAGCUGGGUGACUUACACAACAGAAAUUUAUUGUCUCACAGUUCUGGAGGCUGGAAGUCUGAAAUCAAGGUGUCAGCAAGUGCAAUUGUUGAAGAAAGCUGUUGCUACUUGGAAUUACCUUCAAUUAGAAGGUUGAGUAGAAGAAGGAUGAACCAGAAAAACUGAGUACUCAUCUCAAAAGCAUUUCACUUCUGAUUCUCUACCCAUAUAUCCUAUAAAAGUUGUAUCCAUAGAGAAUCAAAAAAGCUUAUAUUUCACCUCAAGGCUAAACAGAGGUGAUCCAAUAUCCUGCCAGAGUGUAUGCUUUGUUUUUCUGGGAAAGAUCUCCCUGAAAAAGGACAAGACUUGAGAAGUGCAUUUUGUUAUAGAAGAUGCAGAGUUCCGAGAAAAUCAAAAUAUGGUGAAGAUGCAGAUUUCCGAGAAAAUCAAAAUAGGGUGAAGAUGCUGGAUAGUGGAAGAGAAGAGGAAGUGUGCCCUCCUGCAAUCAUAUAAGGAUGUCAUCAUUCCAUUCAUUAAAGGCAAUCCAAACCUUUAGAAGCAUAUUGAUUGUCCUGUGCUUGAUCAAACAAGAAGAAAUCAGACCCUAUUAAGUUUACGAACCUCUUUUCUAGCCCAAUAUUCUAAAUUCUACUAUGGCAUGCUGCCAGAAACCCAGAAUUCAUAAAAAUGUCUUCAAGAAAAGCUAUGAAUGUAACAGUAAAAAGGUGAGAGGACUGUAGGAUGCUAAUGGCUAAUCAUGCAGAAAUUCUUUUAAAAAUAUUAGAAUGCCAGGUUCCAUCUUAUGCUCUUACUGCAAGAAAAUUAUGUGUGAAUCAUAG